GAUGAACGCUGACAGAAUGCUUAACACAUGCAAGUCGAUUCGAUUUACCUUCGGGUAUUGAGGAUGGCGGACGGGUGAGUAACGCGUAAGGAACUUGCCUCUUGGUCUGGGACAACUGUUGGAAACGACAGCUAAUACCGGAUAUUAUGAGAUUCUCGCAUGGGAAACUUAUGAAAGCUAUAUGCGCCAAGAGAGAGCCUUGCGUUCCAUUAGCUAGUUGGUGGGGUAACGGCCCACCAAGGCGACGAUGGAUAGCCGGCCUGAGAGGGUGAACGGCCACAAGGGGACUGAGACACGGCCCUUACUCCUACGGGAGGCAGCAGUGGGGAAUAUUGGACAAUGGGCCACAAGCCUGAUCCAGCAAUUCUGUGUGCACGAUGAAGGUCUUCGGAUUGUAAAGUGCUUUCAGUUGGGAAGAAGAAAGUGACGGUACCAACAGAAGAAGCGACGGCUAAAUACGUGCCANCNGCCGCGGUAAUACGUAUGUCGCAAGCGUUAUCCGGAUUUAUUGGGGCGUAAAGCGCGUCUAGGCGGAAAAAUAAGUCUGANGUUAAAAUGCNGGGCUCAACUCCGUAUUGCGUUGGAAACUGUUUUUCUAGAGUACUGGAGAGGUGGGCGGAACUACAAGUGUAGAGGUNAAAUUCGUAGAUAUUUGUAGGAAUGCCGAUGG
RNAcentral lists this ribosomal RNA (670 nucleotides) under uncultured prokaryote. RNAcentral's name for it is "bacterial SSU rRNA". It matches the Rfam family "Bacterial small subunit ribosomal RNA", at positions 28 to 715 of the family's 1533-position model. The record is from RNAcentral.